GUAGGUGGCAAGCGUUGUCCGGAAUUAUUGGGCGUAAAGCGCGCGCAGGCGGGUCCUUUAAGUCUGAUGUGAAAGCCCACGGGCUCAACCGUGGAGGGUCAUUGGAAACUGAGGGACUUGAGUACAGAAGAGGAAAGCGGAAUUCCACGUGUAGCGGUGAAAUGCGUAGAGAUGUGGAGGAACACCAGUGGCGAAGGCGGCUUUCUGGUCUGUAACUGACGCUGAGGCGCGAAAGCGUGGGGAGCAAACAGGAUUAGAUACCCUGGUAGUCCACGCCGUAAACGAUGAGUGCUAAGUGUUAGGGGGUUUCCGCCCCUUAGUGCUGCAGCUAACGCAUUAAGCACUCCGCCUGGGGAGUACGACCGCAAGGUUG
This 373-nucleotide ribosomal RNA is filed under the name uncultured organism. RNAcentral's name for it is "partial 16S ribosomal RNA". It matches the Rfam family "Bacterial small subunit ribosomal RNA", at positions 527 to 896 of the family's 1533-position model. The record is from RNAcentral.